RNAcentral lists this ribosomal RNA (409 nucleotides) under bacterium. Its description in RNAcentral is "partial 16S ribosomal RNA". It matches the Rfam family "Bacterial small subunit ribosomal RNA", at positions 355 to 776 of the family's 1533-position model. The record is from RNAcentral.
UGGGGAAUAUUGCACAAUGGGCGAAAGCCUGAUGCAGCGACGCCGCGUGAGGGAUGACGGCCUUCGGGUUGUAAACCUCUUUCAGCAGGGACGAAGCGCAAGUGACGGUACCUGCAGAAGAAGCACCGGCUAACUACGUGCCAGCAGCCGCGGUAAUACGUAGGGUGCAAGCGUUGUCCGGAAUUACUGGGCGUAAAGAGUUCGUAGGCGGUUUGUCGCGUCAUUUGUGAAAACCAGCAGCUCAACUGCUGGCUUGCAGGCGAUACGGGCAGACUUGAGUACUGCAGGGGAGACUGGAAUUCCUGGUGUAGCGGUGAAAUGCGCAGAUAUCAGGAGGAACACCGGUGGCGAAGGCGGGUCUCUGGGCAGUAACUGACGCUGAGGAACGAAAGCGUGGGUAGCGAACAGG